Molecule: ribosomal RNA, 497 nt
Filed under: uncultured bacterium
Lineage: Bacteria
Description: partial 16S ribosomal RNA
Rfam family: Bacterial small subunit ribosomal RNA
Source: RNAcentral
GAUGAACGCUGGCGGCGUGCCUAAUACAUGCAAGUCGAGCGAACAGACGAGGAGCUUGCUCCUUCGACGUUAGCGGCGGACGGGUGAGUAACACGUAGGUAACCUACCUAUAAGACUGGGAUAACUUCGGGAAACCGGAGCUACUACCGGAUAAUAUUUCGAACCGCAUGGUUCGAUAGUGAAAGAUGGCUUUGCUAUCACUUAUAGAUGGACCUGCGCCGUAUUAGCUAGUUGGUAAGGUAACGGCUUACCAAGGCAACGAUACGUAGCCGACCUGAGAGGGUGAUCGGCCACACUGGAACUGAGACACGGUCCAGACUCCUACGGGAGGCAGCAGUAGGGAAUCUUCCGCAAUGGGCGAAAGCCUGACGGAGCAACGCCGCGUGAGUGAUGAAGGUCUUCGGAUCGUAAAGCUCUGUUAUUAGGGAAGAACAAACGUGUAAGUAACUGUGCACGUCUUGACGGUACCUAAUCAGAAAGCCACGGCUAACUACGUG